This 73-nucleotide transfer RNA is filed under the name Mus musculus (house mouse). Its description in RNAcentral is "tRNA-Asn". The record is from RNAcentral. Lineage: Eukaryota; Metazoa; Chordata; Mammalia; Rodentia; Muridae.
GGAGAGGUGGCUCAGUGGUUAAGAGCACUGACUAUUCUUCCAGAGGUCCUGUGUUCAAUUCCCAGCAACCACA